This 373-nucleotide long non-coding RNA is filed under the name Vigna radiata. RNAcentral's name for it is "long non-coding RNA (VRAD_LNC012062)". The record is from RNAcentral. Lineage: Eukaryota; Viridiplantae; Streptophyta; Magnoliopsida; Fabales; Fabaceae.
GGAGGAGACAAGAUCGAAGUUAGUUGAAGACAUGAUGUCAAUGAUGGGACACAUGUGUAUGCUUGAAAGAAGAGAUGACGAUUGGGCUGGCAGGUGGCGACACGUAGUUGCUAAAGCAGGGGACAUCACGAGACAAUUGCUGAAAGAAGAAGGACAACACGCGAUUUGAUGAAGGAAGUGAAAGUGCGAAAGUGCGAAAGUAGGUUGUUUUAUGGAGGAAAGGUGCAAUAGUUGUUGGGAGCACCUACAACUUUGGAGUAGGAGAAGGUGCAACAAAAGAAGAAGAGCACAACGUCAAACGCAAAGAGGCAAAGUCUAGAUCAGAGAUAAACUCGUAAUACCAUGUAAAAGAGAAAUAAUUUGAAUGUGUCUU